This 468-nucleotide ribosomal RNA is filed under the name uncultured bacterium. RNAcentral's name for it is "partial 16S ribosomal RNA". It matches the Rfam family "Bacterial small subunit ribosomal RNA", at positions 28 to 507 of the family's 1533-position model. The record is from RNAcentral.
GACGAACGCUGGCGGCGUGCUUAACACAUGCAAGUCGAACGGACAGGCCCUGCUUUUGUUGGGUGCUCGAGUGGCGAACGGGUGAGUAACACGUGAGUAACCUGCCCUUGACUUUGGGAUAACUUCAGGAAACUGGGGCUAAUACCGGAUAGGAGCUCCUGCUGCAUGGUGGGGGUUGGAAAGUUUCGGCGGUUGGGGCUGGACUCGCGGCUUAUCAGCUUGUUGGUGGGGUAGUGGCUUACCAAGGCUUUGACGGGUAGCCGGCCUGAGAGGGUGACCGGCCACAUGGGGACUGAGAUACGGCCCAGACGCCUACGGGAGGCAGCAGUGGAGAAUAUUGCAGAAUGGGCGGAAGCCUGAUGCAGCAACGCCGCGUGCGGGAUGACGGCCUUCGGGGUGUAAACCGCUUUCGCCUGUGACGAAGCGUGAGUGACGGUAAUGGGUAAAGAAGCACCGGCUAACUACGUG